ACGCUCGACACCUACGGGAGCAGCAGUGAGGAAUAUUGGUCAAUGGACGCAAGUCUGAACCAGCCAUGCCGCGUGCAGGAUGACGGCUCUAUGAGUUGUAAACUGCUUUUGUACGAGGGUAAACGCAGAUACGUGUAUCUGUCUGAAAGUAUCGUACGAAUAAGGAUCGGCUAACUCCGUGCCCGNAGCCGCCGGUAAGUACUGAGCGGGCGUGGCGAACGGACG
This 225-nucleotide ribosomal RNA is filed under the name uncultured bacterium. RNAcentral describes it as "partial 16S ribosomal RNA". It matches the Rfam family "Bacterial small subunit ribosomal RNA", at positions 328 to 544 of the family's 1533-position model. The record is from RNAcentral.